This 76-nucleotide microRNA precursor is filed under the name Tupaia belangeri chinensis (Chinese tree shrew). RNAcentral describes it as "Tupaia chinensis (Chinese tree shrew) mir-877 microRNA precursor family". It matches the Rfam family "mir-877 microRNA precursor family". Lineage: Eukaryota; Metazoa; Chordata; Mammalia; Scandentia; Tupaiidae. The record is from Rfam by way of RNAcentral.
GUAGAGACGGCGCAGGGGCACGGGCCAGGACCCGGGCUCCGCGGGCCUGGGACAUGUGUCCUCUUCUCCCUCCCAG